Molecule: ribosomal RNA, 253 nt
Filed under: uncultured bacterium
Lineage: Bacteria
Description: partial 16S ribosomal RNA
Rfam family: Bacterial small subunit ribosomal RNA
Source: RNAcentral
UACGAAGGGGGCUAGCGUUGCUCGGAAUUACUGGGCGUAAAGCGCACGUAGGCGGAUUGUUAAGUCGGUGGUGAAAUCCUGGAGCUCAACUCCAGAACUGCCUUCGAUACUGAGAGUCUCGAGUCCGAGAGAGGUGAGUGGAACUGCGAGUGUAGAGGUGAAAUUCGUAGAUAUUCGCAAGAACACCAGUGGCGAAGGCGGCUCACUGGCUCGGUACUGACGCUGAGGUGCGAAAGCGUGGGGAGCAAACAGG